Molecule: ribosomal RNA, 374 nt
Filed under: uncultured bacterium
Lineage: Bacteria
Description: bacterial SSU rRNA
Rfam family: Bacterial small subunit ribosomal RNA
Source: RNAcentral
ACGAACCGUGCGAACGUUAUUCGGAAUCACUGGGCUUAAAGCGCGUGUAGGCGGGUCGGAACGUCGGACGCUGAAAUCCCCCGGCUUAACCGGGGAACGGGCGCCGAAACGGCCGGCCUGGAGGAACGUAGGGGGAGCUGGAACUUCCGGUGGAGCGGUGAAAUGCGUUGAGAUCGGAAGGAACGCCCGUGGCGAAAGCGAGCUCCUGGACGUUUACUGACGCUGAGACGCGAAAGCCAGGGGAGCGAACGGGAUUAGAUACCCCGGUAGUCCUGGCCGUAAACGAUGGGCACUGGGUAGGGGGCUCGCCGAUGGGCUCCCUGCCGUAGCGAAAGCGUGAAGUGCCCCGCCUGGGGAGUAUGGUCGCAAGGCUG